RNAcentral lists this ribosomal RNA (244 nucleotides) under uncultured bacterium. Its description in RNAcentral is "partial 16S ribosomal RNA". It matches the Rfam family "Bacterial small subunit ribosomal RNA", at positions 534 to 776 of the family's 1533-position model. The record is from RNAcentral.
GCAAGCGUUGUUCGGAUUUACUGGGCGUAAAGGGCGCGUAGGCGGCCACGACAAGUCACUUGUGAAAUCUCCGGGCUUAACUCGGAACGGUCAAGUGAUACUGUCGGGCUAGAGUGCGGAAGGGGCAACUGGAAUUCUCGGUGUAGCGGUGAAAUGCGCAGAUAUCAGGAGGAACACCGGUGGCGAAGGCGGAUCUCUGGGCCUUACCUGACGCUGAGGAGCGAAAGCGUGGGGAGCGAACAGG